RNAcentral lists this ribosomal RNA (440 nucleotides) under uncultured bacterium. RNAcentral describes it as "partial 16S ribosomal RNA". It matches the Rfam family "Bacterial small subunit ribosomal RNA", at positions 338 to 795 of the family's 1533-position model. The record is from RNAcentral.
CCUACGGGCGGCAGCAGUAGGGAAUAUUGCUCAAUGGGGGAAACCCUGAAGCAGCAACGCCGCGUGGAGGAUGAAGGUUUUCGGAUUGUAAACUCUUUUUGUUAGAGAAGAUAAUGACGGUAUCUAACGAAUAAGCACCGGCUAACUCCGUGCCAGCAGCCGCGGUAAUACGGAGGGUGCAAGCGUUAUUCGGAAUCACUGGGCGUAAAGAGCGCGUAGGCGGGAUAGCAAGUCAGAUGUGAAAUCCUAUGGCUUAACCAUAGAACUGCAUUUGAAACUGUUAUUCUAGAGUAUGGGAGAGGUAGGUGGAAUGCUUGGUGUAGGGGUGAAAUGCGUAGAGAUCAAGAGGAAUACUCAUUGCGAAGGCGACCUGCUAGAACAUAACUGACGCUGAGGCGCGAAAGCGUGGGGAGCAAACAGGAUUAGAUACCCUUGUAGUC